GGGGGAGCCGGUACAGAGUCAAUGUGGAGGCUAUAUACAGGGGGAGCCGGUACAGAGUCAAUGUGGAGGCUAUAUACAGGGGGUACCGGUACAGAGUCAAUGUGGAGGCUAUAUACAGGGGGUACCGGUACAGAGUCAAUGUGGAGACUAUAUACAGGGUAUUACGGUACAGAGUCAAUGUGGAGGCUAUAUACAGGGGGGAGCCGGUACAGAGUCAAUGUGGAGACUAUAUACAGGGUAUUACGGUACAGAGUCAAUGUGGAGGCUAUAUACAGGGUAUUACGGUACAGAGUCAAUGUGGAGGCUAUAUACAGGGUAUUAAGGUACAGAGUCAAAAUGGAGGCUAUAUACAGGG
Oncorhynchus tshawytscha (Chinook salmon) is the source of this 355-nucleotide long non-coding RNA. The record is from Ensembl. Lineage: Eukaryota; Metazoa; Chordata; Actinopteri; Salmoniformes; Salmonidae.